RNAcentral lists this ribosomal RNA (874 nucleotides) under uncultured bacterium. RNAcentral's name for it is "bacterial SSU rRNA". It matches the Rfam family "Bacterial small subunit ribosomal RNA", at positions 16 to 888 of the family's 1533-position model. The record is from RNAcentral.
AUUAUGGCUCAGAUGAAACGCGGGCGGCAUGCCUUACACAUGCAAGUCGAACGGCAGCGCGGGGCAACCUGGCGGCGAGUGGCGAACGGGUGAGUAAUAUAUCGGAACGUACCCUGGAGUGGGGGAUAACGUAGCGAAAGUUACGCUAAUACCGCAUACGAUCUAAGGAUGAAAGCAGGGGACCGCAAGGCCUUGUGCUCCUGGAGCGGCCGAUAUCUGAUUAGCUAGUUGGUGGGGUAAAGGCCUACCAAGGCAUCGAUCAGUAGCUGGUCUGAGAGGACGACCAGCCACACUGGAACUGAGACACGGUCCAGACUCCUACGGGAGGCAGCAGUGGGGAAUUUUGGACAAUGGGCGCAAGCCUGAUCCAGCAAUGCCGCGUGAGUGAAGAAGGCCUUCGGGUUGUAAAGCUCUUUUGUCAGGGAAGAAACGGUGGGGGCUAAUAUCCCCUGCUAAUGACGGUACCUGAAGAAUAAGCACCGGCUAACUACGUGCCAGCAGCCGCGGUAAUACGUAGGGUGCAAGCGUUAAUCGGAAUUACUGGGCGUAAAGCGUGCGCAGGCGGUUUUGUAAGUCUGUCGUGAAAUCCCCGGGCUCAACCUGGGAAUUGCGAUGGAGACUGCAAGGCUAGAAUCUGGCAGAGGGGGGUAGAAUUCCACGUGUAGCAGUGAAAUGCGUAGAGAUGUGGAGGAACACCGAUGGCGAAGGCAGCCCCCUGGGUCAAGAUUGACGCUCAUGCACGAAAGCGUGGGGAGCAAACAGGAUUAGAUACCCUGGUAGUCCACGCCCUAAACGAUGUCUACUAGUUGUCGGGUUUUAAUUAACUUGGUAACGCAGCUAACGCGUGAAGUAGACCGCCUGGGGAGUACGGUCG